AAUAAACGCUGGCGGCGUGCCUAACACAUGCAAGUCGAGCGAGAAAGCUCCUUCGGGAGUUAGUAAAGUGGCGAACGGGUGAGCAACACGUGAGAAUCUACCCUUUAGUGAAGAAUACCCUCGAGAAAUCGAGGCUAAUACUGCAUACGUCCCUUCGGGGAGAAAGAUGGCCUCUUUGCUAUCGCUAAAGGAUGAGCUUGCGUACUAUUAGCUAGUUGGCGGGGUAAAGGCCCACCAAGGCAAUGAUGGUUAACCGGCCUGAGAGGGUGUACGGUCACACUGGAACUUAGACACGGUCCAGACUCCUACGGGAGGCAGCAGUGAGGAAUCUUGCGCAAUGGGCGAAAGCCUGACGCAGCGACGCCGCGUGGAGGAUGACGGUUUUCGGAUUGUAAACUCCUGUUAAGCGGGAAGAAAGCCUUGUUUCUAAUACAAGCAAGGUAUGACGGUACCGCUAGAGAAAGCACCGGCUAACUUCGUGCCAGCAGCCGCGGUAAUGUGCGCG
Molecule: ribosomal RNA, 505 nt
Filed under: uncultured bacterium
Lineage: Bacteria
Description: bacterial SSU rRNA
Rfam family: Bacterial small subunit ribosomal RNA
Source: RNAcentral